AGUGAACGCUGGCGGCAGGCCUAACACAUACAAGUCGAGCGGCAGCGCGUCCGACCACCCUCGGGUGGUCGGAUGGCGGCGAGCGGCGGACGGGUGAGGAAUGCAUCGGAAUCUGCCUCGUUGUGGGGGAUAACGUAGGGAAACUUACGCUAAUACCGCAUACGACCUACGGGUGAAAGUGGGGGACCUUCGGGCCUCACGCGAUGAGAUGAGCCGAUGCCGGAUUAGCUAGUUGGCGGGGUAAAGGCCCACCAAGGCGACGAUCCGUAGCUGGUCUGAGAGGAUGAUCAGCCACACUGGAACUGAGACACGGUCCAGACUCCUACGGGAGCAGCAGUGGGGAAUAUUGGACAAUGGGGGGCAACCCUGAUCCAGCCAUGCCGCGUGUGUGAAGAAGGCCUGGUGUAA
Molecule: ribosomal RNA, 408 nt
Filed under: uncultured bacterium
Lineage: Bacteria
Description: bacterial SSU rRNA
Rfam family: Bacterial small subunit ribosomal RNA
Source: RNAcentral